CCUCAUUUGUACUGUAAGUCGCUUUGGAUAAAAGCGUCUGCUAAAUGACUAAAU
Danio rerio (zebrafish) is the source of this 54-nucleotide non-coding RNA. NCBI's taxonomy places the organism in Eukaryota, Metazoa, Chordata, Actinopteri, Cypriniformes, Danionidae. The record is from Rfam.